CAUCCCCUGCGGUGUUCGUUUGCAGCCCGGGUAUUUUCUUGAGCCUAAUUCCUACCCUGGGGUCAUAAUGAAAGCGCCGGUGUGCAUGUCCGCUCUCAUGCGGAAAGCCUGAAGCGCCUCUGUUGACCCCACUUGAACCAACUGGUUCAAGAACAAAGGUCAGCGACGGCACAGGUGGGGGAUGU
This 185-nucleotide non-coding RNA is filed under the name Candidatus Thiodiazotropha sp. (ex Monitilora ramsayi). Its description in RNAcentral is "6S RNA". It matches the Rfam family "6S / SsrS RNA". Rfam says of the family: E. coli 6S RNA was the first non coding RNA to be sequenced, but its function was unknown until recently. Lineage: Bacteria; Pseudomonadati; Pseudomonadota; Gammaproteobacteria; Chromatiales; Sedimenticolaceae. The record is from RNAcentral. RNAcentral also lists the same sequence under 4 other names.